This 433-nucleotide ribosomal RNA is filed under the name uncultured bacterium. RNAcentral describes it as "partial 16S ribosomal RNA". It matches the Rfam family "Bacterial small subunit ribosomal RNA", at positions 29 to 507 of the family's 1533-position model. The record is from RNAcentral.
AACGAACGCUGGCGGCAUGCCUAACACAUGCAAGUCGAACGAGACCUUCGGGUCUAGUGGCGCACGGGUGCGUAACGCGUGGGAACCUGCCCUUAGGUUCGGAAUAACUCCCCGAAAGGGGUGCUAAUACCGGAUAAUGUCUUCGGACCAAAGAUUUAUCGCCUUUGGAUGGGCCCGCGUUGGAUUAGCUAGUUGGUAGGGUAAAAGCCUACCAAGGCGACGAUCCAUAGCUGGUCUGAGAGGAUGAUCAGCCACACUGGGACUGAGACACGGCCCAGACUCCUACGGGAGGCAGCAGGGGGGAAUAUUGGAACAUGGGGGAAAGGCUUGUCCAGCCAUGCCGCGUGAGUUAUGAAGGCCUUAGGGUUGUAAAGCUCUUUUACCCGGGAUGAUAAUGACAGUACCGGGAGAAUAAGCUCCGGCUAACUCCGUG